This 660-nucleotide ribosomal RNA is filed under the name uncultured bacterium. RNAcentral's name for it is "bacterial SSU rRNA". It matches the Rfam family "Bacterial small subunit ribosomal RNA", at positions 94 to 788 of the family's 1533-position model. The record is from RNAcentral.
AGUGGCGGACGGGUGAGUAACGCGUGAGAAUCUGCCUUGGGGUCGGGGACAACCACUGGAAACGGUGGCUAAUACCGGAUAAGCCGAUUGGUGAAAGAUUUAUUGCCCGAAGAGGAGCUCGCGUCUGAUUAGCUAGUUGGUGAGGUAAGAGCUCACCAAGGCAGCGAUCAGUAGCUGGCCUGAGAGGACGAUCAGCCACACUGGGACUGAGACACGGCCCAGACUCCUACGGGAGGCAGCAGUGGGGAAUUUUCCGCAAUGGGCGAAAGCCUGACGGAGCAAGACCGCGUGAGGGAGGAAGGCUCUUGGGUUGUAAACCUCUUUUCUCAGGGAAGAAGCUCUGACGGUACCUGAGGAAUCAGCCUCGGCUAACUCCGUGCCAGCAGCCGCGGUAAUACGGAGGAGGCAAGCGUUAUCCGGAAUUAUUGGGCGUAAAGCGUCCGCAGGUGGCGAUUCAAGUCUGCUGUCAAAGCACGGGGCUUAACUCCGUAAAGGCAGUGGAAACUGAAUAGCUAGAGUGCCGUAGGGGUAGAGGGAAUUCCCGGUGUAGCGGUGAAAUGCGUAGAGAUCGGGAAGAACAUCGGUGGCGAAAGCGCUCUACUGGACGGCAACUGACACUCAGGGACGAAAGCUAGGGGAGCGAAUGGGAUUAGAUACCCC